Molecule: non-coding RNA, 2771 nt
Organism: Anas platyrhynchos (mallard)
Lineage: Eukaryota; Metazoa; Chordata; Aves; Anseriformes; Anatidae
Source: RefSeq, a predicted model, not a curated record
UAUAUAUGUAUAUAUAAUCAGUAUUUUCAGGAACACCCCAGACUUUGAAAGAGGGUGUGUGUGUUAAAUACAGGAAAUACACCCAGCUGAGGAAAACCUAGGAGGCACCAGCGUCACUGGUUGAGGACCCAGGGACUUGGUGGGGACAUGCAGUGGGCACCUGGGCAGCAACAACUGGUCACCCAAAUUGCAAAUGGGGAACAGCUGGCUGCAGAGGUGGAGCAAUGGGUUCUUAAAGGUGGUGGCCUGUGAUAUUAGGCUCCUGUGAAGGAGGUCUAUGCUGUCCUGCUGUUCCUAACUGCUGAGCUCACUGGGCAGGAGGCGCUUCUGGAUUCAGCUCUGGCAAAGCCUAAGCUGGCGUGCUGUCUCAUUUUGUGCUUAGGCUCGUGCCAGCUUCUGCAGCAUAUAAAGGUGACCUGGAACACAUCUGCAAAGCCCUCCAAAGUAGUAGGAAUGUGCUCCGUUAGGACAUGAUUCAUCCUGCAUACCGCAUGGGUGGCUGCUCAGGGAGAAUUUUGACAUUUGCAUAGGCAGAGACUUUCCGCUUCUCACUUGCCCUCCAACUCCUGUGCUCUGCCUGCUCAAGCAGGGGGGCUGUGGAGCCAGAAGGGAUCUCCCCGAGCUGGAGCCGACCCGGCAGCAGUGGUUCUGUCCCACCACCUAAAAGGACAACGGUGAGCUCCACGGGCAAGCUUAAGGCAAGAAGCUGCUCAUCUGAAGGAUGGCUUCAGCCUCUUAGGUCCAAGCAAAGCCGUCCGGAGCUGCUGUCCAGGGAUCGAUCAGGUAUUUGGGAACUGCAGCCAGCCCCCGCGGGCAGGAAAAUAUUAUUACAGUCCUACCGCUCAGGGAAAACCUGUACCAUGCCAAAAGUAAGUGAUACGGACAGGACUGAGUCACACACGCUGUGUCUGGGAAGGAAAAGGAGUUGGGCAACAGCACAGUUGUCUCUUUUUACCUUUGGGCUGCUCCCAGGUAAGUGGCUUUAUCUCAGCAGCUGCAGUGUGAGCGGGCUGAACCACAGGCCAGUGAGGGACGGUGAUGCUCUCGAGUUUGGGAGGCUGCUCACUGCCUUUCACCACCUGACUGCGACCAGCGGUGCUUGUGGAGUGAGCAAGACGUGUGCCACUGCUGGAUAAAUGGGAAAGACGCAGGAAUCGUGAAUUAAGAUGCUGCUUGACCACAAACACUACAGGAUUCAUGCCCCUGGGAGUUCUGCACAUUUGUUUCGUGUGAAAUCGGAGGGAUGCACCCCGUUGGCUGUUCGUCUGUCCUUGGUAAGAAAAGUGCACAGGCACUGGAAAUCUACAUACAGGAAAAGUUCCUGUGCACAUGGGGCCAAAUUCUGCCUCGCUUAAUUUAACUGACCACGGUUAUUGCAGUGAAUCUUCCCAUUAUUGUCAUUAAUCUUGAUAAUGACAACUCUAAAGAUGCUUCCAGGCUUACUUCUGGGGAAAAUAGCUUUCUGAACGCGUCUUCCUGAAUCCACAGGCAGGGUAAAGCAAUAAAUGGAAAGAGGUAUAUGCUUGGAUAGAUGGUUGCUGUUCAGUUAUAACUGUCUGAGUAUCAGCCUAGUGAACCGCUUCGUGCUGCCACUGCGUACCGGGCCAAAUCCGUCCCUGAUCCAACUCCAGUGAAAUGCAUGGACCACAUUCUCAGCUGGGGUGAAAUGACAUUAGUCAGUGGAACUGUGCUCGUUUGUCCCAGCCGAGGACCUGGCCGAUAGAUGCCCACCGUUUAUGUGGCUGAAAUGUCCUUUUUGGUAAGACCACAGGAAUAAUGCUGCAAAUAGUCCAGACAGAGCAUGUGAUUCGGUACAUUUCUGGUUCUCUGCAAAAGUCUGGGUGAAAUAGAGGCAGCUUUAAUUAAAAGUAGUAAAGAACAAAGACUUUUUUUUUUAAUGUUCAUGCUUUGUAGGAAUUUGCUUAAACUUUAAGCAUAUUUUUCCAAGCUGAGUCUGGGACCAGAAAAGUAGUAGAAUUUGGCAACGUUUCCUGUAAGAUUUCCAGUGGACUUACAAGUUACAAACAUACGUGAAGUUGAAAUGAUCCUUUAUUCUCAUCCGUAACAGGGAGGGAGGAGAAGUAUUUACGCAGGAUAGACAGUUUCCACUUAAACAGAACAGGGUAACAGGGACUGUCUGUGAGAUUCAGGAUGCUCACUGCCAUUAAUGCACGUGGGAGAUGAGCAUCCGUAUCUCCUAAACACCACGUAAAAUCCUCAGUCAGGAAACAGUGGAGCAAUGCCUUAUUUACAGCAGCUGAAGAUCUGGCCCCAGAUGCUGCUUGGGGCUUUGUGUACUGUCUCGGUAGGGCCGUUAACUUUCUUGCUUGAGGGCCACAAAACCCGACCCUUAAUUUACAGUAGGAGGAAAACUACCAUUUAAAUAUCUAUUUUAAAAACACUGUACCGUGCAAUGAGUCUUUAUAUUGUGCAUAUGUACCUGCAGAAAACAUGAGGUUACACCUACAUCAUCUGGAGGGAAUGACACUUAUUUUCAGUGGGAGAAAGAAAGAGUAAAAACCUAAUAACAAAAUAAGUUACUCGAUAUCUGGAAGACAAAUAGAUUAAUCUUACUUUGUCCCAAACCGCUGCUUUUACGUACAUCCUCCGUUCCCCCAAAGGAAUGGGAGGUUUCCUAUUUGAAGUACCAGACACUCCAAGAUACGCACCACUGUAACAACACGCACAGUUUUUACAUCAACUGUGCUGCAAAGCCAUGGGAUUCAGAGCCUCAGUAACACAAUGAAUGCAAAGGAGGAAAAAAAAAAAAG